GACGAACGCUGGCGGCGUGCUUAACACAUGCAAGUCGAACGGAAAGGCCCUGCUUUUGUGGGGUGCUCGAGUGGCGAACGGGUGAGUAACACGUGAGUAACCUGCCCUUGACUUUGGGAUAACUUCAGGAAACUGGGGCUAAUACCGGAUAGGAGCUCCUGCUGCAUGGUGGGGGUUGGAAAGUUUCGGCGGUUGGGGAUGGACUCGCGGCUUAUCAGCUUGUUGGUUGGGUAGUGGCUUACCAAGGCUUUGACGGGUAGCCGGCCUGAGAGGGUGAACGGCCACAUUGGGACUGAGAUACGGCCCAGACUCCUACGGGAGGCAGCAGUGGGGAAUAUUGCACAAUGGGCGGAAGCCUGAUGCAGCAACGCCGCGUGCGGGAUGACGGCCUUCGGGUUGUAAAACGCUUUCGCCUGUGACGAAGCGUGAGUGACGGUAAUGGGUAAAGAAGCACCGGCUAACUACGUG
RNAcentral lists this ribosomal RNA (468 nucleotides) under uncultured bacterium. Its description in RNAcentral is "partial 16S ribosomal RNA". It matches the Rfam family "Bacterial small subunit ribosomal RNA", at positions 28 to 507 of the family's 1533-position model. The record is from RNAcentral.